UUGCAGCAACAUGGAUGGACCCAGAAAUUAUCAUGCUAAGUGAAGUCAGUCGGACAGUGAGACACCAACAUCAAAUGCUAUCACUUACAUGUGGAAUCUGAAAAAGGACACAGUGAACUUCUUUGCAGAACAGAUACUGACUCACAGACUUUGAAAAACUUAUGUUUUCCAAAUGAGACAGCUUGGGGUGGGGGAUAGCUGGGUGUUUGGAAUGGAAAUGCUAUAAAAUUGGGUUGUGAUGAUCGUUGUAAAACUAUAAAUGUCAUAAAAUGCACUGAGCAAUAAAAAAAAAAAAGUAUUUUACAUGAGAUGUUCAGCUGUUCAGAUAAGACCUUUGUAGGGCUUUGAGCUCUGAUCUGUCUUUCUCGAAAAGGCCAAACAUGAAAACCAUAGAGGUUUAGCAUUUCAGACGGAAGAAAUGCAGAUGUAAAGUCCUUGAGGAAAGAAUGAACUAGAUCUACUCUAGAAGCCGACAGAAGGCUACUGUCUAACUAGGCAACAUGCUUCUGAAGGCUAGGAACCAUGUCAUACUUUUCCUUUGUUCUGCAAAGCAUGUGACCACGUAUGAAUGCAUACACAAUCACAUAUUGUUUGGUACUAGUGAGCAGUUUUCUAGCAUGUUCAGAGCAUAUUUGACUGCCAUUUAAGAGAAGUUCGUUUUGUUUUGUUUUGUUUGCUAUUUUAGGGCCGCGCCCAUAGCAUAUGGAGCUUCCCAGGCUAGGGGUCCAAUCGGAGCUAUAGCUGCCGGCCUACACCACAGCCAGAGCAAUGCAGGAUCUGAGCCAUGUCUGCGACCUACACGUAGCUCAUGGCCAAGCUGAUGCUUAACCCACUGAGCCGAGGCCAGAGAUGGAACCUGCAUCCUCAUGGAUCCUGGUCGGGUUGUUAACUGCUGAGCCAUGAAAGGAACUCCUAGAGAAGUUCUUGUAACUGUGAUGGAUUUAAAUUUAACUUAAACUCAGAGUUUGACAUAUAGCUAAAGUCUUUCAUCGCUGAACUAACCCAGACUGAAAGCUGGAGCGCUGUGUUUACCUGUGGGUGUUGUUGCAGGGAGCAUGGAGACUACCUCUGGCCUGAGCUGUGCUGACAGGGUCUUCUUCUCAGUAUAAGUCUGAUAUCAGAAUCUCCAUUGCAAAAACAUUACACUAACUUUGGAACCAUAUUGAGCUUAAUCUGGUAUUUGACCCCUCAAGAAACCUCUUUUCAAUGAUUCAAUUAGUCAUCAAAAACGCUUUUUUCAACAGAGGGGCUAAAGCUAUGUCCUAUUACUAAUUGGCCUCCUCAUUGUUAUGCAAGAGACUGGUACUCAUCAUUAAACUUAAUUUUAAAAUUUGUGCAUUUUUUAUUGCAGUAAAAUAUACACAGCAUACAACUUGCCAUUUUAAUCAUUUUUUUUAUGCUCAGUUCCAUGGCAUUAAGCACAUUUGCAUUGUUGUACAACCGUCACUGCUCUAUAUCUCCACAACUUUUCCAUCAUCCCCCAUCAUUAAAUUAAAAAAUAUUUCAAUCCCAUUGUUACUCUCCAUAGAAUCAUCUGUCUAAAUAUGCCCAUGAAGAGGAAGCAGUUGGACUGUAGACAUAUACUGAAAUUAACAUUUAUGACUUUUCUCUUAGGGUGCAUAUUUGGAACCAAAAUACAUUUUAUCCAUGAAUCUUAAUGCAGGCAGCUUCUAAAUCCACAGUCAUGUCCUGUCUGGAGUUCCUGUUGUGGCUCAGCCAAAACAAAUUUGACUAGUAUCCAUGAGGAUAUAGGUUCGAUCCCUGGCCUCACUCAGUGGGUGAAGGAUCUGGCGUUGCCUUGAGCUGUGGUGUAGAUGACAGAUGCAGCUCGAAUCCCACGUUGCUGUGGCUGUGGCGUAGGCCGGUGGCUGUAGCUCUGAUUUGACCCCUCCUGGGAACUUCCAUGUG
This 1908-nucleotide long non-coding RNA is filed under the name Sus scrofa (pig). Its description in RNAcentral is "lncRNA (ENSSSCG00000057876.1)". Lineage: Eukaryota; Metazoa; Chordata; Mammalia; Artiodactyla; Suidae. The record is from RNAcentral.